RNAcentral lists this ribosomal RNA (1359 nucleotides) under Listeria monocytogenes. RNAcentral describes it as "partial 23S ribosomal RNA". It matches the Rfam family "Bacterial large subunit ribosomal RNA", at positions 1 to 1353 of the family's 2925-position model. The record is from RNAcentral. Lineage: Bacteria; Bacillati; Bacillota; Bacilli; Caryophanales; Listeriaceae.
UUGGUUAAGUUAGAAAGGGCGCACGGUGGAUGCCUUGGCACUAGGAGCCGAAGAAGGACGGGACUAACACCGAUAUGCUUUGGGGAGCUGUACGUAAGCGUUGAUCCAGAGAUUUCCGAAUGGGGGAACCCACUAUCUUUAGUCGGAUAGUAUCCUUACGUGAAUACAUAGCGUGAGGAAGGCAGACCCAGGGAACUGAAACAUCUAAGUACCUGGAGGAAGAGAAAGAAAAAUCGAUUUCCUGAGUAGCGGCGAGCGAAACGGAAAGAGCCCAAACCAAGAAGCUUGCUUCUUGGGGUUGUAGGACACUCUAUACGGAGUUACAAAAGAAAGUUAUAAAUGAAGCGGUCUGGAAAGGCCCGCCAAAGACGGUAACAGCCCGGUAGUUGAAAUAGCUUUCCCUCCAGAGUGGAUCCUGAGUACGGCGGAACACGUGAAAUUCCGUCGGAAUCCGGGAGGACCAUCUCCCAAGGCUAAAUACUCCCUAGUGACCGAUAGUGAACCAGUACCGUGAGGGAAAGGUGAAAAGCACCCCGGAAGGGGAGUGAAACAGUUCCUGAAACCGUGUGCCUACAAGUAGUUAGAGCCCGUUAAUGGGUGAUAGCGUGCCUUUUGUAGAAUGAACCGGCGAGUUACGAUUUGUUGCAAGGUUAAGCGGAAAAAGCGGAGCCGUAGCGAAAGCGAGUCUGAAUAGGGCGCAUAAGUAACAGGUCGUAGACCCGAAACCAGGUGAUCUACCCAUGUCCAGGAUGAAGGUAAGGUAAUACUUACUGGAGGUCCGAACCCACGCACGUUGAAAAGUGCGGGGAUGAGGUGUGGGUAGCGGAGAAAUUCCAAUCGAACUUGGAGAUAGCUGGUUCUCUCCGAAAUAGCUUUAGGGCUAGCCUCGAGGUAAAGAGUCAUGGAGGUAGAGCACUGUUUGGACUAGGGGCCCUUCUCGGGUUACCGAAUUCAGAUAAACUCCGAAUGCCAUGUACUUAUACUCGGGAGUCAGACUGCGAGUGAUAAGAUCCGUAGUCGAAAGGGAAACAGCCCAGACCACCAGUUAAGGUCCCCAAAUAUAUGUUAAGUGGAAAAGGAUGUGGGGUUGCUUAGACAACCAGGAUGUUGGCUUAGAAGCAGCCACCAUUGAAAGAGUGCGUAAUAGCUCACUGGUCGAGUGACCCCGCGCCGAAAAUGUACCGGGGCUAAACAUAUUACCGAAACUGUGGAUGAACCUCUUUAGAGGUUCGUGGUAGGAGAGCGUUCUAAGGGCGGUGAAGUCAGACCGGAAGGACUGGUGGAGCGCUUAGAAGUGAGAAUGCCGGUAUGAGUAGCGAAAGAAGGGUGAGAAUCCCUUCCACCGAAUAUCUAAGGUUU